GAUGAAGAACGUAGCGAAAUGCGAUAAGUAAUGUGAAUUGCAGAAUUCAGUGAAUCAUCGAAUCUUUGAACGCAUCUUGCGCUCUUUGGUAUUCCGAAGAGCAUGCCUGUUUGAGUGUCAUGAAAAUAUCAACCUUGACUUGGGUUUUGUGCUCUAGUCUCGGCUUGGAAUUGGGUGCUUGCCGCUUUUACGAGCGGCUCACCUUAAAUGUAUUAGCUGGAUCUGUCUUUGAGACUUGGUUUGACUUGGCGUAAUAAGUAUUUCGCUAAGGACAUUCUUCGGAGUGGCCUCGUUUCUAGGACGCUUGUCCGAUUUCCAAUACAAGUUCCACCUCGUGGACAUGACUUUUUAUUAUCUGGCCUCAAAUCAGGUAGGACUACCCGCUGAACUUAAGCAUAUCAAUAAGCGGAGGA
RNAcentral lists this unclassified non-coding RNA (413 nucleotides) under soil metagenome. RNAcentral's name for it is "partial contains 5.8S ribosomal RNA, internal transcribed spacer 2, and large subunit ribosomal RNA". The stretch from base 1 to 120 matches the Rfam family "5.8S ribosomal RNA", at positions 35 to 154 of the family's 154-position model. The record is from RNAcentral.